Molecule: long non-coding RNA, 569 nt
Filed under: Homo sapiens (human)
Lineage: Eukaryota; Metazoa; Chordata; Mammalia; Primates; Hominidae
Description: novel transcript
Source: RNAcentral
ACUGCCAUCGCUUCCUGUGUGUCCUCAGGUCACCGCUUGCUCUAGUUCCCAGGCUUUGGCCCCCAGUGGACGAGAAUCGCUGAGCCUGCGGGGCUGGACGCUGAGCGCCUAGGCCAGCACCUAGGCGGGCGCGGAGCUAUGUGGGCCAGGGUUCGCACGGGCCGGGUGGAGGCUUGAGCGGGGACCCCCGAGCGUGAGCCCCUGAGCCGGCGGCCCUGCGGCCAGGGGAACCGGGCGGGAGGUGGCGAAGGUGGCAGCGGAGGCGGAGGCGAAGGGGCGGCGGGAACCGGGCCUGGCCCGUGUGUGUCCUGGGGGCCUGGCCCAGGCCGCCGCUGUACGGUGAGUCCCAGGGAGGCGGAUCUGGGCCCCGGGAAGGACACCCUCCUGGAUUUGCCCCGUAGGCCCGGCCCGGGCCCCUCAGGAGCAGAACAGCCUUGGUGAGGUGGACAAGAGGGGACCUCGCGAGCAGACGCGCGCCAGCGACAGCAGCCCCGCCCCGGCCUCUGGGGAGCCCCAGGAGGGUCUACCAGCCACAGUCUCUGCACGUUUCCAAGAGCAGCAGAAAAUGA